Long non-coding RNA from Mesocricetus auratus (golden hamster), 586 nucleotides. RefSeq lists it as uncharacterized. The record is from RefSeq and is a predicted model, not a curated record. The transcript has 2 exons. Lineage: Eukaryota; Metazoa; Chordata; Mammalia; Rodentia; Cricetidae.
CCGAGAUGCAAAGGCCACGGACCCGCCAUUCAGGACUCCAAAGAGUCUUGCUCCGGGUGCCUCUGAGGACCACACAGGCAACUUCGCCUAAGGCCCUCCUCCCAGGCCUCCCCCAGGGGACAGAGGGGCUCCCCUAGCGCCCAGGGCCAUGUGCCCACGACCCUUCCCUGAGGGCAUUCUUUCUGCCUGCAUCGACAUUGGAUUUGGUCAUACGACUUGCUGCUGUCACUGAGUUAAGGAUGGGACAAAUGUGCUCCUCAGUGCCAGUGCUGGAAAGAGAAGUGAGGCAAGCCACAGCCAAGCCAUUGAACAGUCUCCAACUGCAGCGUGAAAAGGAAAGAAAUGGAUGUUAUUAGCUACUAGGAUGUGUAUCUUCAUCUUCAUUAUACAACUUCUAGUAUUUCUGUACUACUCGUCUCCUUAUCCUUCUUUAUUUUUCUUUACAGGCUUGCUUAUCUACAUAUUUAUUAUCUGCUUUAUGCCCUGGAACAUAACCUUCAUAAAAUAAGGAUUUUUGUCUAUUUUGUUCACUGUUAUGUCCCCUAUUCGUAAAGCAAAGCAUAAUAAAUACCUAUCACUGAGUGUA